RNAcentral lists this ribosomal RNA (253 nucleotides) under uncultured bacterium. RNAcentral describes it as "partial 16S ribosomal RNA". It matches the Rfam family "Bacterial small subunit ribosomal RNA", at positions 524 to 776 of the family's 1533-position model. The record is from RNAcentral.
UACGGGGGGGGCGAGCGUUGUUCGGAAUUACUGGGCGUAAAGGGCGCGUAGGCGGCCCACUAAGUCAGACGUGAAAUCCCCCGGCUUAACCUGGGAACUGCGUCUGAUACUGGAGGGCUUGAGUAUGGGAGAGGGAUGUAGAAUUCCAGGUGUAGCGGUGAAAUGCGUAGAUAUCUGGAGGAAUACCGGUGGCGAAGGCGGCAUCCUGGACCAUUACUGACGCUGAGGCGCGAAAGCUAGGGGAGCAAACGGG